RNAcentral lists this ribosomal RNA (492 nucleotides) under uncultured bacterium. RNAcentral describes it as "partial 16S ribosomal RNA". It matches the Rfam family "Bacterial small subunit ribosomal RNA", at positions 29 to 507 of the family's 1533-position model. The record is from RNAcentral.
AGUGAACGCUGGCGGUAGGCCUAACACAUGCAAGUCGAACGGCAGCACAGUAAGAGCUUGCUCUUACGGGUGGCGAGUGGCGGACGGGUGAGGAAUACAUCGGAAUCUACUUUUUCGUGGGGGAUAACGUAGGGAAACUUACGCUAAUACCGCAUACGACCUACGGGUGAAAGCAGGGGAUCUUCGGACCUUGCGCGAUUGAAUGAGCCGAUGUCGGAUUAGCUAGUUGGCGGGGUAAAGGCCCACCAAGGCGACGAUCCGUAGCUGGUCUGAGAGGAUGAUCAGCCACACUGGAACUGAGACACGGUCCAGACUCCUACAGGAGGCAGCAGUGGGGAAUAUUGGACAAUGGGCGCAAGCCUGAUCCAGCCAUACCGCGUGGGUGAAGAAGGCCUUCGGGUUGUAAAGCCCUUUUGCUGGGAAAGAAAAGCAGCAGGUUAAUACCCCGCUGUUCUGACGGUACCCAAAGAAUAAGCACCGGCUAACUUCGUG